RNAcentral lists this ribosomal RNA (253 nucleotides) under uncultured bacterium. Its description in RNAcentral is "partial 16S ribosomal RNA". It matches the Rfam family "Bacterial small subunit ribosomal RNA", at positions 524 to 776 of the family's 1533-position model. The record is from RNAcentral.
UACGUAGGGGGCUAGCGUUGUCCGGAAUCAUUGGGCGUGAAGAGCGUGUAGGCGGCCCGGUAAGUCCGCUGUAAAAGUCAAAGGCUCAACCUUUGAAUGUCAGUGGAUACUGCCGGGCUAGAGUCCGGAAGAGGCGAGUGGAACUCCUGGUGUAGCGGUGGAAUGCGCAGAUAUCAGGAAGAACACCAACGGCGAAGGCAGCUCGCUAGGACGGUACUGACGCUGAGACGCGAAAGCGUGGGGAGCGAACAGG